This 813-nucleotide ribosomal RNA is filed under the name Triticum aestivum (bread wheat). Its description in RNAcentral is "partial small subunit ribosomal RNA". Lineage: Eukaryota; Viridiplantae; Streptophyta; Magnoliopsida; Poales; Poaceae. The record is from RNAcentral.
AUGAGCUCCAGGCACCCACAGCUUCACCUCAUCCUGCUACUGCUUGCAUACUACUGCUCCACCCACACCGCUGCCAGUGGUGGCAAUGGAACCACAAUCCAGUGCCUCCCUGAUCAGGCUUCAUCUCUACUCCAGAUGAAGCGCUCCUUCUUCCACAACCCCAACCUCUCGUCAUGGCAGCAUGGCACAGACUGUUGCCACUGGGAGGGUGUUGGCUGCGACAGGGCCUCUGGUCAGGUGAUCACUUUGGACCUCAGUGAUCGUAACCUGCGGAGCACCAGUGGUCUCAGCCCAGCACUAUUCAACCUCACCUCCCUCACAAAUCUCAGCCUCUCUGGUAACGACUUUGGCCUGACCAGCCUUCCUAGUUUUGGGUUUGAGCGGCUGAUCGAGCUCGUCAGUCUCAAUUUGUCUGAUGCGUGUUUUGCUGGUCAGAUAGCCAUUGGAAUUUCCCACCUCAAGAAUUUGCGUUCGCUUGAUCUUUCCUAUAAUACUGAUUUGUAUCUUCAAGACCCAAGUUUCCAAACCCUCGUAGCAAACCUGAGCAAUCUGAGAGAGCUUUAUCUUGAUAGAGUGAGCAUCUUAAGUGGCGAAGCAAAUUGGUCCGUUGCUUUAGCAGACUCUGUUCCGCUACUACAGAAUAUUAGUUUGUCUACGUGUGAACUAAGUAGUCCGAUCCACCAUUCAUUCUCCCAACUCCGUUUUCUAACAACGAUCAACCUCGCAGAUAAUGAAAUUUCUGGUCAGGUUCCUGGGUUCUUUGCAAAAUUCUCUUUCUUACCGAAAAAGGGUUUCCCCCCGCUUUAUAAAUAA